GUGGGGAAUAUUGGACAAUGGGGGGAACCCUGAUCCAGCCAUGCCGCGUGUGUGAAGAAGGCCUUUUGGUUGUAAAGCACUUUAAGCGAGGAGGAGGCUACCGAGAUUAAUACUCUUGGAUAGUGGACGUUACUCGCAGAAUAAGCACCGGCUAACUCUGUGCCAGCAGCCGCGGUAAUACAGAGGGUGCAAGCGUUAAUCGGAUUUACUGGGCGUAAAGCGCGCGUAGGGGGCCAAUUAAGUCAAAUGUGAAAGCCCCGAGCUUAACUUGGGAAUUGCAGUAGAUACUGGUUGGCUAGAGUAUGGGAGAGGAUGGUAGAAUUCCAGGUGUAGCGGUGAAAUGCGUAGAGAUCUGGAGGAAUACCGACGGCGAAGGCAGCCAUCUGGCCUAAUACUGACACUGAGGUGCGAAAGCAUGGGGAGCAAACAGGAUUAGAAACCCGUGUAGUCC
Molecule: ribosomal RNA, 451 nt
Filed under: uncultured bacterium
Lineage: Bacteria
Description: partial 16S ribosomal RNA
Rfam family: Bacterial small subunit ribosomal RNA
Source: RNAcentral